UCCAGAAGAACCAUGAAGUGCCUUACCAAACAUAGGGAAAGAUAAGUUUAUUAUAGGAAUUUUGGGUAGUGUUGAGUUUAGGAGAAAUUGAAAUGAAGUUUGAAAAUGUUUUGAUAGGUUCACAAGAAAGCAAGGCUGUAUGUAAAGGGGUCUACAUUACAUCUGGACUGCAACAUGGACCCAGGGUGCUGUUUUAUUGAAAACUAAAAAGUUUAAAUAGGACUACUCCCUAAAUCAUUAAGCCCCCAGGACAAUGAGAUUCUGACCAACAUCAAGUAAUCUUAGGAACAAAGCCUCAGGUCUGUUGAACCCAGAGAUGGAUUUUUGGUCAAAAUAGAGAUAACAUGUAGGCCUCAGCUGUGUUUCAGCUCCAGAACAAUCCCACUGACCACAUCCUAGAGAAAACAGAUAAAGCAAUGCUAUGACUGACAUUAGGACUAGAUGCACUGAUCAAAUACCCCCUACCCUAGCAAUGACCAAUCAGUGGAAACUUGACCCUAACUCUCCUAGUCACCAAAAUUAAUGACUUAUCGUCUGAUUAACCCAUUCCGUGAUGCCAUCGGGAGCCAGGUCUUUGAGAAUUAGCUGACCUGUGACUCUGGAUAUGGGCCACUUAAAAUAAACCCUUACUUUCUUUGCUACAAA
This is a long non-coding RNA of Myotis brandtii (Brandt's bat), 645 nucleotides long. RefSeq lists it as uncharacterized. Lineage: Eukaryota; Metazoa; Chordata; Mammalia; Chiroptera; Vespertilionidae. The record is from RefSeq and is a predicted model, not a curated record. The transcript has 2 exons.